UCUGGGCAGAGAAUUGACAAAGGGCGUGGCAAAAGUAACGAAGAAGAAAAACGAACCAAUAGGAGCUCAGAUGUUUGUGUUUUUGAAUGAGACGCGGUUGAUGGCAGCUGAAACGACAGUCGUUCGGUGCAUAUAUUUGGGCUUUUAUCUGCGUUGAAGGUAGAUUAAUAACCUUUCAAAGUUUUAAAGGUCUGUCCUCCUUUUCAAAGUAAUGUUCUCCAGGAAGUUAAGUUCCAGUUGGGAAGUCCAGCCCUCCAGUGGACAAGGAGAGCGCACACCCCUUCGAAGCCUGGACAAUGAAAUCCUACGUUUUUCAACUCCAUCAUCUGAACUCAAGACAAGUUGGAAACUCUCGUCUGAAACUGCAAAAGCAACAAUGGGGAGCUUUUCGCCAGAAUUUCACUUGAAUUCCCCUGCAUUCACAAAAACGACACAAGGCAGUCCUCCUCAUGUUGAAUGUGGACCUGAAGAUGUCACAUUCAAAUCCUUUAUGUGUGCUGGCGGUGAGGUUGAGAUUCCAGAGUCUUCGAUUUGUCACCAGGCGAGCAUUAUUUUGCCUACAGUUGCUGACACUUGCUGUAGUGCUGCUGGAUGAACUGGGGAUCACACCCAGAACAUGAAGCAGUCUGUGCUGCUUGAUGACCAGAAACAACUGCCAAACUGUAACAAAACGUGACCGUCCUGAACAUUGGCUCCCCAAGACUCUCUGAAACUCCCAUUCACGAGUGUGACAGACUUCCGAACACAGGAAGUGAAGAUCAUCAUGUAACUUUGAAAUCCUUUAACUGCCAUGGAGGUGAGGUGGAAAUUUCAGAUGCCACCAGGUUACACGAUGAGACCAUUCCACUGCCCUCAGAGCUAGGUUCAUUAAAAGACCACAGUACAACAAUCACUCACUUCUCUAUUUGUACCCAUUUUUGCCAAGAAGAACAUGCUGAUCACCCAUACUGUAUAAAAGAAGAUUAUCCACUCACCACAAGCUUUUCUGAAACCACUGGUGCUUCUCCUGAACAGCCCGGAA
Molecule: long non-coding RNA, 1021 nt
Filed under: Oryzias javanicus (javanese ricefish)
Lineage: Eukaryota; Metazoa; Chordata; Actinopteri; Beloniformes; Adrianichthyidae
Description: lncRNA (ENSOJAG00000002511.1)
Source: RNAcentral